Molecule: transfer RNA, 70 nt
Filed under: Debaryomyces hansenii
Lineage: Eukaryota; Fungi; Ascomycota; Pichiomycetes; Serinales; Debaryomycetaceae
Source: RNAcentral
AGGAUUAGCUUAUCCAAUUGGUUUAUUUUACGUUGUUAUCACCGGUACGGAUUUGUUUAACUCAAAUAUA